This 348-nucleotide small nuclear RNA is filed under the name Jaculus jaculus (lesser Egyptian jerboa). RNAcentral's name for it is "7SK RNA (ENSJJAG00000004703.1)". It matches the Rfam family "7SK RNA". Rfam says of the family: 7SK was discovered as an abundant small nuclear RNA in the mid-70s but a possible function has only recently been suggested. Two independent studies have found that 7SK RNA binds the CDK9/cyclin T complex (known as elongation factor P-TEFb). The record is from Rfam by way of RNAcentral. Lineage: Eukaryota; Metazoa; Chordata; Mammalia; Rodentia; Dipodidae.
GGGUGUGAGGCGAUCUGGCUAUGAUAUCUGUUACCCCAUUGAUCUCCAGGGUGGACUCAGCUGAUCUGGCUGCCUAGAUGGGUGUCCCUUUCCCCUCUCACCACUCCAUUGGCAUCUCUUCCAAAGCUGUGGGCUCAGUUGCAGAGGAUGACCUCCCCUGAAUAGAGGAGGACUGGUCUUUGGUUAAGGGUAUACCAGAGUAGCCAUGCUCCCCUGUUAGAACCUCUAAACAAGCUCUCGAGAAAAGUGAUAUCAAGAACAAACUUGAAAAAAUCUAGCUGGGCACAGUGGCGCACACCUAUAAUUUCAACACUCAGGAAGGCAGAGGAAGGAGGGUUGUUGUGAGUU